Molecule: ribosomal RNA, 430 nt
Filed under: Bacillota bacterium
Lineage: Bacteria; Bacillati; Bacillota
Also listed under: 2 other names
Description: Firmicutes bacterium partial 16S ribosomal RNA
Rfam family: Bacterial small subunit ribosomal RNA
Source: RNAcentral
UAGGGAAUCUUCGGCAAUGGACGAAAGUCUGACCGAGCAACGCCGCGUGAGUGAAGAAGGUUUUCGGAUCGUAAAACUCUGUUGUUAGAGAAGAACAAGGACGUUAGUAACUGAACGUCCCCUGACGGUAUCUAACCAGAAAGCCACGGCUAACUACGUGCCAGCAGCCGCGGUAAUACGUAGGUGGCAAGCGUUGUCCGGAUUUAUUGGGCGUAAAGCGAGCGCAGGCGGUUUCUUAAGUCUGAUGUGAAAGCCCCCGGCUCAACCGGGGAGGGUCAUUGGAAACUGGGAGACUUGAGUGCAGAAGAGGAGAGUGGAAUUCCAUGUGUAGCGGUGAAAUGCGUAGAUAUAUGGAGGAACACCAGUGGCGAAGGCGGCUCUCUGGUCUGUAACUGACGCUGAGGCUCGAAAGCGUGGGGAGCAAACAGGA